GGAUGUGAGGGCGAUCUGGCUGCGACAUCUGUCACCCCAUUGAUCGCCAGGGUUGAUUCGGCUGAUCUGGCUGGCUAGGCGGGUGUCCCCUUCCUCCCUCACCGCUCCAUGUGCGUCCCUCCCGAAGCUGCGCGCUCGGUCGAAGAGGACGACCAUCCCCGCUAGAGGAGGACCGGUCUUCGGUCAAGGGUAUACGAGUAGCUGCGCUCCCCUGCUAGAACCUCCAAACAAGCUCUCAAGGUCAAUAAAAAUGUCUUAUUUUUGAAACAUAAUAUAAUUCACUAGUGGCCUUUAAAGUUUAUUA
RNAcentral lists this small nuclear RNA (304 nucleotides) under Rhinopithecus bieti (black snub-nosed monkey). RNAcentral's name for it is "7SK RNA (ENSRBIG00000015226.1)". It matches the Rfam family "7SK RNA". Rfam says of the family: 7SK was discovered as an abundant small nuclear RNA in the mid-70s but a possible function has only recently been suggested. The record is from RNAcentral. Lineage: Eukaryota; Metazoa; Chordata; Mammalia; Primates; Cercopithecidae.